This 832-nucleotide long non-coding RNA is filed under the name Salmo salar (Atlantic salmon). RNAcentral's name for it is "lncRNA (ENSSSAG00000107364.1)". Lineage: Eukaryota; Metazoa; Chordata; Actinopteri; Salmoniformes; Salmonidae. The record is from RNAcentral.
CCAGUUUAUUAGUAGCCACCAUAGAGAUGUUCAGGACCAGUGUAUUAUUAGCCACCAUAGAGAUGUUCAGGACCAGUUUAUUAGUAGCCAACAUAGAGGUUCAGGACCAGUGUAUUAGUAGCCACCAUAGAGAUGUUCAGGACCAGUUUUUUACUAGACACCAUAGAGAUGUUCAGGACCAGUUUAUUACUAGCCAUCAUAGAGAUGUUCAGGACCAGUUUAUUACUAGCCCUCAUAGAGCUGUUCAGGACCAGUUUAUUACUAGCCACCAUAGAGAUGUUCAGGACCAGUUUAUUACUAGCCAACAUAGAGAUGUUCAGGACCAGUGUAUUAGUAGCCACCAUAGAGAUGUUCAGGACUAGUUUAUUACUAGCCAACAUAGAGAUGUUCAGGAUCAGUUUAUUACUAGCCACCAUAGAGAUGUUAAGGACCAGUUUAUUACUUGCCAUCAUAGAGGUUCAGGACCAGUUUAUUACUAGCCACCAUAGAGAUGUUCAAGACCAGUUUAUUACUUGCCAACAUAGAGGUUCAGGACCAGUUUAUUACUAGACCCCAUAGAGAUGUUCAGGACCAGUUUAUUACUAGCCACCAUAGAGAUGUUCAGGACCAGUUUAUUACUAGCCAACAUAGAGAUGUUCAGGACCAGUUUAUUACUAGCCCCCAUAGAGAUGUUCAGGACCAGUUUAUUACUAGCCAACAUAGAGAUGUUCAGGACCAGUGUAUUACUUGCCACCAUAGAGAUGUUCAGGACCAGUUUAUUACUAGCCAACAUAGAGAUGUUCAGGACCAGUUUAUUACUAGCCAACAUAGAGAUGUUCAGGACCAGUUUAUU